RNAcentral lists this ribosomal RNA (253 nucleotides) under uncultured bacterium. RNAcentral's name for it is "partial 16S ribosomal RNA". It matches the Rfam family "Bacterial small subunit ribosomal RNA", at positions 524 to 776 of the family's 1533-position model. The record is from RNAcentral.
UACGAAGGGGGCUAGCGUUGCUCGGAAUGACUGGGCGUAAAGGGCGCGUAGGCGGAUGGCACAGUCAGAUGUGAAAUUCCCGGGCUUAACCUGGGGGCUGCAUUUGAUACGUGUUGUCUAGAGUGAGGAAGAGGGUUGUGGAAUUCCCAGUGUAGAGGUGAAAUUCGUAGAUAUUCGCAAGAACACCAGUGGCGAAGGCGGCUCACUGGCCCGGAACUGACGCUGAGGUGCGAAAGCGUGGGGAGCAAACAGG